This is a non-coding RNA of Odocoileus virginianus texanus, 6600 nucleotides long. The record is from RefSeq and is a predicted model, not a curated record. Lineage: Eukaryota; Metazoa; Chordata; Mammalia; Artiodactyla; Cervidae.
UUCGCCAUGAAGUGAUGAGACUGGAUGCCCUGGUCUUAGUUUUCUCAAUGCUGAGUUUUAAGCCAACUUUGCUCAACGAACUAGUAAAAUGAGAGAAGAUCAAUCUGAUCACAGCACAUCAGGAUCUCAGAUCCCACAUCCUAACUAACAAAUUUCAAUCAACAUGUCUGAAACAAAUUUCAAUUAACACAGUCUGGUUCUCUUAUGCACUGGCUGCAUAAAUCUUUUAGGUGUCACAUGAGUGACUCCCUAAAACUCCCAAUUCUUUUUCACACUUGAUCCUGCGAAGCUACCACCUAUAUCUACCUGUAGAGUUGGAUUCAGAGGCCCAAGCAUAAGCCCUUAUAUAUUAUCUGCAAUCAAAUUUCAUCUUAUAACAUUCUUGCCUAUCAAUAUUUUCUCCAUCUGAAUUCUGACACCCUAUGGAUAGAUUUUUGCUCUCUCAGCUUCCUGCAUUUGAAAAUAUGAUUAUCAUGUAAUGAGAUUCUCCACCUAAGUCACUAGCAAGAGAACAGGGCUGAGGACAAGCUGCCAGAUAGAGGCUCUUCUCUUCCCAUUGGUCAGCAGCUUUUGAAUAAAGUCUAUAUCUGAUCCAAAAUAACAUCUAGAGACUUUCUCAAACAUCCUGCUGAAAUCCUAUCACUGGUAUCUGGUGAAUUUUCCUAGUUUACCAGGGUGUAACUCCAAUUCAAAAAGGAAAUUCUUUACACCUCUAGUUGUUAGUGAAUUACACAGUUAUCCCAAGAGGCACCACUUCCUUUAAGUGCUCAAAACAACCCUGCUAAUGAUUUAAGAACUGGAGUAGGUUUCCCUAUCUAAAGUCCACAGCAUCUGCCUUCCUUCCCUUUGUGAACAUGGGAUACUUUCAAGGGACAUCUGAGCUUCUUUAUCAAUAGUGUUUUAAACAAUCUCUAUCAUGGAGCUCUCUUCUGUCCACCCUGAAUGAUAAACAAGCUUAUCAGCUAAAGGCAUUUCACAUUCUCGAAGACAAGCAGCCCAAGUUUUUUAAAUAAGAUAAACGUCACAAUACCUAAUUCAGAAUCAAUUGAUAUUUCUGAAGAUACACUAUAACUCAAGUAAAUUUACAUAUAUUAUUUGACUAUUCUUCACAACAACCUUGUGAAGAAAGUAUGACUUAUGCUCAUUUGCUGACAGUUAAACUAAGGUUCAGCAAAGUGAAAUACCAUGUGUUAAGCUCACUGAGGUGAUAACAGAACCGAGCUAGGAUAGCAAUCUGAUUCUUUUAAAAACAUCUUCCUUCUUACUACUACAGGAUCACUUAUAACCAUUCCUAAGCAACUCUUCUUUUGAGAUCUUUCCAAAAUAAACCAUUAUCUAAGGCUACAAAAUGUUUGCUACUCUCUAAAUACAUUCAGGUACAUGCCUUUUCCUUGCACUGCUCAAAAGCAAGGUAUUUCAGCCUUCAACACUUGAAAGAUCUUACAAGAGACAAUCAUAUUUUCAAGGUGACUCCCCAGUUGAUGGCUGAUUUUUAACUGCCCAUUUUUAUUGCAGUGGGUUUUGAACAGGGUAGGUAAUUUAUGAGCUAAUACAAUUAAGUAAAUUAACUAUUGAACAGUUAUCUCUACUAAGACACUGUAUAUUCUGUGUACGGAAAUCAGUUCAAGAUCAAUUCAGCAAACCCUUCUUUACUAAAUACAAUACUGUCAUAGUUUAAAAGCUCUGUAUGGGAAAGAAAAAUAUUUAUGUGAAGAAUAACAUGCAAACUCAAUUACAAAGUGAAGGAAAUGACACAUCAAAAAUAUUUAGGAGUUUAUUUUUCCUUAAAUAUUUGCAUCACAUGUAGGAUUUAUAAAAAUCUUUUCUUCUCUUUCAUGGGUACGUCACAGACUCACCCACUAUUAUCUUCUAGUAUUAGUGACACUUCAAGUUUCUUUUCAUUGUGAGUCAUUCUCCUGAAUAUUAAACAAAAUAAAUCAUAGGUCUAAUCAAAAGAAGCAAGAAAUGAUAAAUUUCAGCACUAUUUCAUUACAAGCUCAAAAGGAUUUUUCAACUCUUCACUGAUUAAUUAUAUUUCAUUAGCAUUUCAAUGUAACAUUUUAAAGCACUCAUCUGGAAAACUCAUCCUGUGAGCUUAUCUUCACCCAAGUACCUAUCCUAUGCUCAUAGACUCCGUUCUAUUUACUUUUGAUUAAGUUCCAUGCAGCAUUUUUCAAAACACAAAUAAGAUUAACUUUGUGAUCUUGUAAUAUAAAAUCGGAAGAGAGCAACUACAUACAAACAACUCCAGCAUAUUUAUUCCUGAUUCAUUUUUCCCUUCUACUGCAUUCAAGAAAGAAAAUUAGCAAAAAAUGUAAUUAAAAUAAUGACUGACUUCUAAAUCUAGUCACACGGAAAGGUACAGAAUGCCGAAAAUAUGCAUAUACAUCAACAGCCUGGGCAAUGAUCACAUCCAUGCUGAAGGGGUACUGCAUUUACUGGGGUAAACAAUAUGGUUUGUGUUAUAAGCCUUUUGCACACUUUAUGUAAGUAAACAAACAAUAACAAAGAACAGAUGUGUCACAUUUCACUUGUUUCAAAGGAAUAGGAUCAGAUCUUUGGAAGCACUCAGCCUCGGGAGAAUAAUUCCUCUUUGCUUCUCAUUUCAUAGCCACACCCAUCCUAGAAGUUUCCUGAGGACUGGUUUUCGUUUAUUUUUUUUAAAUCCUUAUUCUUUAGUUUUCCCAUAGCAUAUUCUGCCACAACCCAACUUCUGCUCAGACUAUAAUUAGAACAAUGUCUUAGGGUAUCGCGAUAAGGGUCUCAGGCAAGUCAGCAGACAGCUGUCAUCAGAUAAAGACCAAAACUGACUGUCUUUAAAAAUGCUGUUAAAUGUGUAUGUAGUUAAUGUAUGCAUAACAGCUGUUCACCCUUUUGUGCAGUUACAAAUGAGAUAUUCCUACUAAUUUUGGAGGAGACAAUUCAUUUAACAAUAGCCUAAUGAAUCCUUCAAAUGCUCUAAUAAGUUACUGUUACACACACAUUUUAUAGAGAAAGGCAUAGCAUCUUUCUCCCUGAAAGAGGAUAUCCUGUUGUAGGGAGAAAAAGUCAAAUGUGUAAUUAGCAUUUUUAAUAAGUGCACACAAGAAGUAUGCAGUAAUUCUUCCAGAUAAACAGUGGGGAAACCAGCUGCUUCUGGCUUGGAAGCAAGGAAGCUUCACCAAAAAAAACAACUGAACUAUUACAAAACUAACUGAAAUUGGCAAAAUGGCUGUGAGUAGUUGAAAUUGUAUAAGUAAAUGAAAGGCUUUUAUACUAUUUCACUCUUUUUAUAAUUUGAGGUUUUUGUCAAUGAAGUUUUUGAAAAGUGUUUGGGGAAACAUACUGACUCUGAAAUAUAAGUAAGCCAUACUGAUUUAGAGAGUCAGGAGUGAGGACUGGGAAGGAAUACAGCUUGAGGAGCCUGUCUUCACUUUUUCCCUAGCUACCUCACUUUUAGACUGUUUAUGGUGAAGACACUCAUAAAAAAUUAGCUAUAUAUUAUUACACCUUUCCAAGACCUACAAUUUUAAAGUGCUCUAAAUGCCUUCCUGUAGUACACCAUCAACCAUGAAGGAGGACACUGCUGCUGUAGACUUUAAAGCUCAUUUUCAACCAUUCAAUAAACAUCUGAACUUAUAUCUCCUUAGAUUGCCAGGAUCCCAAAGCCACACUUUUGAACAGCAUCAACAAUACUAUAAUCAACAAAACCAAUGGCUUUUUCCAACCUAAGAAAAUGUUUAAAAAUAAUCUGGCUUCAAAUUUUUCACUAAAUGAUAGAAAAAACAAAUUUAUGAACGUCAGAGUUUAAUCUGGAACUCAUUCUGAAAUUCCCUAUUAUUUAAACUAGGUAUUAAGCCAGACAUGCUUCUUCAAAUCUAAAUGCCAAAGGCUAGCACUUCAGGGCUGAUACAUAUAGUAACUGGUUCUGGCUUCACAGUGUCUUCUGCACUAUUUACUACCAUAUAAUUAACCCUUUGGUACACAGUGCACAAUCACCUAACCUGACCUCAGCAGAAGCAAAUGCUAGAAAGCAGUGACACUGUAUCCAAUAGAAAGUUACUACUACAGCAUCUGCAAUCAGCAGGAUCAAGGACUGCACCCCCGGUUGGUUCCAAGCAGCACGGGGCAACCUCAAAGAGAAUCAUAAAUAUUCUCCCACCUGAAAUACAGGAAGAAGCGUAUCCUGACAAGGUACUUGGACUUCACCCACUCCCAUAUCAUUUCUCUUAGUAAAGAAGCUUCUGGCCAAAAAAAAGUGCUCUGUUUGGACAAGUCCUCUUUGUGUCUUGGUGGUCUUGGUUUUUAAAUGUUGUCUCCCCAACAAGGCAGAAAUUAUGUCUUUACGUUGCCAGGAUCCCGAAGCCACAGUUUUGAAUGUCACCAGCAAUACUAUAAUCAACAAAACCAAUGCCCUUUUCCAAUCCUUAACCUAAUUUGAAUCUGUUAUUACUUAUUAUCUUCUCGUUCCUUGACAAGGCACUUUCAGAUCUUUGCUCCAAACUUCAUUGCAAUGCCAUCAGUAUCUUAAGGGCAGAUGCCACGGUCAAGACAAGAAAACACUUCAGAGUCUCUGUGUGGCAGCUGAUAGGAAGACAAAAGAUGAAUAACACAUGUCCCUGUAACUUCUUUUCAUAUGUGCACCGCGGCCAUUUGCACUGUAGCUGAGCAAUAGAUCUCUUAAAGCAGAUGAACUGAUGUAAGCAGCAUAUUAUAUUCCAUGAACUAGAAAAAUCCAUGUAAAGAAAGAAUAGUUCAUGGCAUCUUUUUACGAAACUAAAGCAUGGAAAAACGGAGCUAUGCAAAAUGUUUUCACAUCAAGUCCUUCCAGUGGGAAACAGAUGUAAAACUCCCUGUUCUCUAUUUUGAAAGAAUAAAUGCCCUUACUAAAAUUCUUCUCUCUGUAUGUUGAGUUUCAUGGUUUAUAACUCCCACUUUUGCUUGCUAUUCCUUUCUUUUUUAUGAACUGAGUCCAUAGCAGCAAAAAAAAAAAUCUGCCUUGGAAAGAAACACAGCCAAUUACAUUCAGAUGGCUGAAAUUGAGAUGGUGCUUACUUUCUUUUCGAGGAGUUAGAGAUCCUUUGUUCUGUGAAUGGAGGGAAGGAUCUGAGAAGAAACGGGAAGAUUAAGUUUGCAUGGAAGAGUCCCAGGUUGCUGGACUCUUUCUCAACUAAGUAAAAGGGAAGGUCAUCUUCCAGGGAUGAGGGAAACAAGGUUGAAUAGUAAAGAGGACCUCAAAGAUUUGAAUUAUUCAUUUAGGGAAGGCAGAGCUAAGAACAAACAAAAGAAACAUAGACCCAGUCCUUAAAAAAAAUGAACAACAAAAUUAGAAAUAUAAUGCAUGUCCAGUAUUACAAAUCAGUUAAAAUACAAAAGGGGUGAGGGUCUUUGCGGGAAAGGUGAUAUAAUUAUAGCAAUAUGUUUCUGAAGAUGAAAGUAGAGGAAAUAUUAAAAUAAGCUUAGAAACAAGCAAAUAAGCCUACCCAUUCAAGUUUCGUUUUUAAUGUACAUUAAAGAAGAUGGUAAAAAAAAAAAAUGUAAAUACGGAAUAACGUGGAGUUCAGGUCCCCUGUGCGUGGGCAUGAAACUGUAUCUGCCUAACUGAAGAUGAUUCUCAUCUUGUGUUUGCCUAACAGUAAUAAUUUUGAUGGAACCUCUGGGUUGGGAAUAAAUGAGAGCAGAGAAAGGCAAAAAAAAAAAAAAAAAAACCACACACACAAAAGACUAUAAUAUAGCUCUUCCUUUUCUGCAGUUCACAGUUAUCAGAAGCUGCAUUAUCACUUAUGCCACAACCUCUCAAAACAAAAACAAAUAAAAAUUUUAAAAAUCACAGUCAUUAGCGAAGAUGACCAAGCCGCCAAAAUGAGAAGUUUGUCAAAACUUCUGUGAAGUCAUCAUAACCCCAGACUACCUAAACGGAAUCACAUAUUUACAAAUCACAAAUGAGCUUCAAUGAAAAUGGAUAGUAGUGGAGAUGGUGCUAAGAAAUCACAAAGGCAUUACUAGUGAACCACCAAUCAGUAACACUGUCAACCUGGUUAUGACACAGAAUUACACAAAUCCUGCCGCCCCACCCCCACCCAGGGAACGUUAGCACGUUACCAAAACACAGCAGGUUCUAGACAAAGGUCUCAAAAACCUGAAUGGGUCUGUGGUGAAAAGCGUCUCACGAGCGGGCAGGAGAAAGCCUAUUGCAUUAGGAAAAAGGCAGAUAGUAAGUAAAUCCUGGCCAAAGGUAUUAACUCCAAGCGAAUUUACAGACUCACAACAGAGACCUGUCUGCCUACAUCCCAAACACACUGUAACAAAUAAGCUCCAGAAACAAGAGAAAACUGUUCUUAAGCUGGACCUCUCCCUUCAGAGUUCGGAGACCAGAAGGGAGAGCUCUCUGGCCGUGCAACCAUAGCAGACUGAAGAGGAAGAAGAAAGACUGCUCUUCUUUCCUGGGUUCAGGGCUGAUAAAGGUCUGGAUUUGGCCCCUCUCCCUCCCAGAAGCUUAACUCAGGGAAAGAACACUGUUGCUGAUUCUGCGAUCUUUGUCAGGGUUGAACGCAGCCCAACACCUGACGCUCCUUUGAUGUUUCUGAGCCCUGCCCUCUGUGGGGCCCUGGGCAGAUACAA